Harpia harpyja (harpy eagle) is the source of this 1513-nucleotide long non-coding RNA. RefSeq lists it as uncharacterized. The record is from RefSeq and is a predicted model, not a curated record. The transcript is spliced from 2 exons. NCBI's taxonomy places the organism in Eukaryota, Metazoa, Chordata, Aves, Accipitriformes, Accipitridae.
GAAAGAAGACGACUCCUCUCUGCCUCACUGCCUGCAGAGGAAUCUUGGAUUAGUGCAGCAGCCAACAGGAGCCAACACAGACAUGAAAAGUACCAUAAUGCAGCCAAGAUUAAAUACUACAGCUAUGCUGAGGGACAUCUGAGCCAUCUAUGAAAGCAGAAACCCUCAUACGCUGCAAAGCAGGCCAUGGAGCCAGCUGCUGUCUCAGACGCACUCAGGGGACUCUGGCAGGAUGGUUUGGAAAGGAGCAACCUUGGCCCUGAUUCUGCUGAGAUGCUGGCGUGACAGUGGCGGUUGUCCUUUUGACUACAGAAGAGGAAUGUAGUCGCUGGUACAUGCUGUUGCUGGCAGUGGUUGCUAGUGCCUUGGCAGAUGUCAAUAUAUUGGUCCUUGCUUCUGUUUUGAACAGAAAAUUGCAUCUGCUCCCAGAGCUCGUUAUGGUCUGUGUUUAAGGUAACUAUGUACAUAUUGCAGGGAGACUCUGCUAAAUUAGUAGACUUCAUUGGUAGAACUACUAUAAAAGAGAAGUAUCUCAAUGAAAUUAUUUUAUGAUUUGUUUGAUAGGAGAGUCUGUUCCAUGCACACAGCUCUAAAUAACCUAGGGGCUAGAUCUGAAUCUCGUAGGCUAACCUUACGUGAAAGGUUCAGCACCAGCAUGACAACAGAUGAGAAUUCUCCACAUGAGAAGUUUGGGGUGGUACAAGCGGAAGGGACUGCACACAGUGGCCAGGCUCUUGUGCUCCUUCCAUGAGGCAUCUUCUGCUUCUUCUGGGUUGGAUGGAGUAUUGAUCUGAUUCGAUGUGGGAGCUGCUACAUGCAAGCCUCUCAUGCUAAAGGCUCUACUCCUGGAUUCAAGACUAGCUAAACACAUGUAAAUGUUUUGAAGGGCUGGGCUUGAUAUAACACAGUUUAGUGCAGAGUACAAAAUAUAGCACUUUUUAUUUAUCACACCUUUAUAAUUCUUCAGAAGAGGUACUGUAGAAAUCUGUCUAAGAUACCAGCAAUUGUAAUGCAAAGAAUAUGCUCUUAAGCACUCAUAUGGAGUAAAUCUGUCCAUUUGAAAUGCGACUCCAAACAUUUGAGGAAAUUGGGUAGGUGUAUUGAAGCAGAAAACGCUGACAAUUUUGGCAACUUCUAAAAUGCCACUGAGUACAGCAGAAGAGAGUAGAACAGAUUUCUUUUCAGCCAGCAUGUCUUCUUUCUCUCUCUUUCUCGCAGCUGCCUUUGUCUACUGUCUAUGCAAAUACCUAUACUAUAUGCCUCAUGAGUUUUCUGUCCUUUUGUGUAUUUCCUAGAUACUUCAUUAUUCCAGGGAGGUUGUGGAAGUGUUUGUGUGUGUUUGCAUGCACAGUGAACAAUGCCAUGGACUAUUCAUUGGAGUGAUAAAUUGUGUUCAUUCUGAUGUCAGGUACCUCUCAUUGACUUUAGUUUCUUUCCUAUUGGAUAUGUUUAAGAUUAACCAGGCAUUAGUCAUUAAUCAAGGAGGUAUCUGCAAAUAAAUUUUUCAUCAUAA